GACGUAGGGCGCGAGCGUUGUCCGGAUUUAUUGGGCGUAAAGAGCUCGUAGGCGGUUUGUCGCGUCUGCUGUGAAAACUGGAGGCUCAACCUCCAGCCUGCAGUGGGUACGGGCAGACUAGAGUGCGGUAGGGGAGAUUGGAAUUCCUGGUGUAGCGGUGGAAUGCGCAGAUAUCAGGAGGAACACCAAUGGCGAAGGCAGAUCUCUGGGCCGUAACUGACGCUGAGGAGCGAAAGCAUGGGGAGCGAACAGG
Molecule: ribosomal RNA, 253 nt
Filed under: uncultured bacterium
Lineage: Bacteria
Description: partial 16S ribosomal RNA
Rfam family: Bacterial small subunit ribosomal RNA
Source: RNAcentral